UACGUAGGGGCCGAGCGUUGUCCGGAGUUAUUGGGCGUAAAGCGCGCGCAGGCGGCCUCGCGCGCCCGACGUGAAAGCCCCCGGCUUAACCGGGGAGGGUCGUUGGGGACGGCGGGGCUUGAGGGCGGGAGAGGUCGGUGGAAUUCCCGGUGUAGUGGUGAAAUGCGUAGAGAUCGGGAGGAACACCUGUGGCGAAGGCGACUUCCUGGCCUGUUCUUGACGCUGAGGCGCGAAAGCUAGGGGAGCAAACGGG
Molecule: ribosomal RNA, 253 nt
Filed under: uncultured bacterium
Lineage: Bacteria
Description: partial 16S ribosomal RNA
Rfam family: Bacterial small subunit ribosomal RNA
Source: RNAcentral